GAUGAACGCUGGCGGCGUGCUUAAUACAUGCAAGUCGAGCGAACAGACCAGGCUCUUGCUCCUCUGACGAUAGGGGCGCACGGGAGAGUAACAUGUGGAUACCCUACCUAUAAGACUGGGAUAACUUCGAGAAACCGGAGCUAACACCGGAUAAUAUAUUGAACCGCAUGGUUCAAUAGUGAAAGACGGUUUUGCUGUCACUUAUAGAUGGAUCCGCGCCGCAGUAGCUAGUUGGUAAGGUAACGGCUUACCAAGGCAACGAUGCGUAGCCGACGUGAGAGGGUGAUCGGCCACACUGGAAGUGAGACGCGGUCCAGAGGCCUACGGGAGGGAGCAGUAGGGAAUCGUCCGCAAUGGGCGGAAAUCUGACGGAACAACGCCAAGUGAGUGAUGAAGGUCUUCGGAUCGGAAAACUCUGUUAUUGGGGAAGAACAAAUUUGUAAGUAAAUAUGCACGUCUUGACGGUACCUGAUCAGGAAGCCACGGCUAACUACGUG
Molecule: ribosomal RNA, 497 nt
Filed under: uncultured bacterium
Lineage: Bacteria
Description: partial 16S ribosomal RNA
Rfam family: Bacterial small subunit ribosomal RNA
Source: RNAcentral